This 273-nucleotide ribosomal RNA is filed under the name uncultured bacterium. Its description in RNAcentral is "partial 16S ribosomal RNA". It matches the Rfam family "Bacterial small subunit ribosomal RNA", at positions 524 to 796 of the family's 1533-position model. The record is from RNAcentral.
GACAGAGGGGGCAAGCGUUGCUCGGAAUUACUGGGCGUAAAGGGCGCGUAGGCGGGAUGGCAAGUCGGUCGUGAAAUCCUUCGGCUCAACCGAAGAACGUCGGCCGAUACUGCCGUUCUUGAGGGAUGCAGAGGAGACUGGAAUUCCCGGUGUAGCGGUGAAAUGUGUAGAGAUCGGGAGGAACACCGGUGGCGAAGGCGGGUCUCUGGGCAUCUCCUGACGCUGAGGCGCGAAAGCGUGGGGAGCAAACGGGAUUAGAAACCCCAGUAGUCC